GCUUGCUUCUAUGACGUUAGCGGCGGACGGGUGAGUAACACGUGGGCAACCUGCCUGUAAGACUGGGAUAACUUCGGGAAACCGAAGCUAAUACCGGAUAGGAUCUUCUCCUUCAUGGGAGAUGAUUGAAAGAUGGUUUCGGCUAUCACUUACAGAUGGGCCCGCGGUGCAUUAGCUAGUUGGUGAGGUAACGGCUCACCAAGGCAACGAUGCAUAGCCGACCUGAGAGGGUGAUCGGCCACACUGGGACUGAGACACGGCCCAGACUCCUACGGGAGGCAGCAGUAGGGAAUCUUCCGCAAUGGACGAAAGUCUGACGGAGCAACGCCGCGUGAGUGAUGAAGGCUUUCGGGUCGUAAAACUCUGUUGUUAGGGAAGAACAAGUACGAGAGUAACUGCUCGUACCUUGACGGUACCUAACCAGAAAGCCACGGCUAACUACGUGCCAGCAGCCGCGGUAAUACGUAGGUGGCAAGCGUUAUCCGGAAUUAUUGGGCGUAAAGCGCGCGCAGGCGGUUUCUUAAGUCUGAUGUGAAAGCCCACGGCUCAACCGUGGAGGGUCAUUGGAAACUGGGGAACUUGAGUGCAGAAGAGAAAAGCGGAAUUCCACGUGUAGCGGUGAAAUGCGUAGAGAUGUGGAG
RNAcentral lists this ribosomal RNA (641 nucleotides) under Bacillus sp. CH8. Its description in RNAcentral is "bacterial SSU rRNA". It matches the Rfam family "Bacterial small subunit ribosomal RNA", at positions 78 to 703 of the family's 1533-position model. The record is from RNAcentral. Lineage: Bacteria; Bacillati; Bacillota; Bacilli; Caryophanales; Bacillaceae.